Molecule: ribosomal RNA, 433 nt
Filed under: uncultured bacterium
Lineage: Bacteria
Description: partial 16S ribosomal RNA
Rfam family: Bacterial small subunit ribosomal RNA
Source: RNAcentral
AACGAACGCUGGCGGCAUGCCUAACACAUGCAAGUCGAACGAGAACGUCCUGUCUAGUGGCGCAGGGGUGCGUACGGCGGGGGAACCUACCCGUAGGUUCGCAAUCACUGCCCGAAAGGUGUGCUAAUACCGGUUAAUCUCUUCGCGCCAUAGAGUUAUCGCGUUUGGAUGGGCGCGAGUUGGAUUAGCUGGUUGGUAGGGUAAAAGCCUACUAAGGCGUGGUUGCAUAGCUGGUCUGAGAGGAUGAUCAGCGACACUGGGACUGAGACACGGCGCAGACUCGUAGGGGAGGGAGGAGAGGGGGAUAUAGGAAAGUGGGCGGAAGGCUGAAACAGCACGGGCGGGAGAGUGCUGAUGGCCUUAGGGACGUAAAUCUCUUUUACCCAGGAUGAUAAUGACGGUACCGGGAGAAUAAGCCCCGGCUAACUCCGUG